RNAcentral lists this non-coding RNA (45 nucleotides) under Trichobilharzia regenti. The record is from RNAcentral. Lineage: Eukaryota; Metazoa; Platyhelminthes; Trematoda; Strigeidida; Schistosomatidae.
AUACAACUGAUGAGUCCCAAAUAGAAUGAAAUGCGCAUCCUGGAU